RNAcentral lists this ribosomal RNA (445 nucleotides) under uncultured bacterium. Its description in RNAcentral is "partial 16S ribosomal RNA". It matches the Rfam family "Bacterial small subunit ribosomal RNA", at positions 354 to 796 of the family's 1533-position model. The record is from RNAcentral.
GUAGGGAAUAUUGGGCAAUGGAUGCAAGUCUGACCCAGCCAUGCCGCGUGCCGGAUGAAGGCGCUCAGCGUUGUAAACGGCUUUUAUUCGGGAAGAAGAGCAGGGAUGCGUCCCUGUGUGACGGUACCGAAUGAAUAAGCACCGGCUAACUCCGUGCCAGCAGCCGCGGUAAUACGGAGGGUGCGAGCGUUGUCCGGAUUUAUUGGGUUUAAAGGGUGCGUAGGUGGCCAAAUAAGUCAGUGGUGAAAUACGGUUGCUCAACAAUCGAGGUGCCAUUGAUACUGCUUGGCUUGAAAUAAUUGGAGGCUGCCGGAAUGGAUGGUGUAGCGGUGAAAUGCAUAGAUAUCAUCCAGAACACCGAUUGCGAAGGCAGGUGGCUACGAUUUAUUUGACACUGAGGCACGAAAGCAUGGGGAGCAAACAGGAUUAGAAACCCGAGUAGUCC